RNAcentral lists this ribosomal RNA (1476 nucleotides) under Lactiplantibacillus plantarum. RNAcentral's name for it is "bacterial SSU rRNA". It matches the Rfam family "Bacterial small subunit ribosomal RNA". Lineage: Bacteria; Bacillati; Bacillota; Bacilli; Lactobacillales; Lactobacillaceae. The record is from RNAcentral.
CGGCGGCGUGCCUAAUACAUGCAAGUCGAACGAACUCUGGUAUUGAUUGGUGCUUGCAUCAUGAUUUACAUUUGAGUGAGUGGCGAACUGGUGAGUAACACGUGGGAAACCUGCCCAGAAGCGGGGGAUAACACCUGGAAACAGAUGCUAAUACCGCAUAACAACUUGGACCGCAUGGUCCGAGUUUGAAAGAUGGCUUCGGCUAUCACUUUUGGAUGGUCCCGCGGCGUAUUAGCUAGAUGGUGGGGUAACGGCUCACCAUGGCAAUGAUACGUAGCCGACCUGAGAGGGUAAUCGGCCACAUUGGGACUGAGACACGGCCCAAACUCCUACGGGAGGCAGCAGUAGGGAAUCUUCCACAAUGGACGAAAGUCUGAUGGAGCAACGCCGCGUGAGUGAAGAAGGGUUUCGGCUCGUAAAACUCUGUUGUUAAAGAAGAACAUAUCUGAGAGUAACUGUUCAGGUAUUGACGGUAUUUAACCAGAAAGCCACGGCUAACUACGUGCCAGCAGCCGCGGUAAUACGUAGGUGGCAAGCGUUGUCCGGAUUUAUUGGGCGUAAAGCGAGCGCAGGCGGUUUUUUAAGUCUGAUGUGAAAGCCUUCGGCUCAACCGAAGAAGUGCAUCGGAAACUGGGAAACUUGAGUGCAGAAGAGGACAGUGGAACUCCAUGUGUAGCGGUGAAAUGCGUAGAUAUAUGGAAGAACACCAGUGGCGAAGGCGGCUGUCUGGUCUGUAACUGACGCUGAGGCUCGAAAGUAUGGGUAGCAAACAGGAUUAGAUACCCUGGUAGUCCAUACCGUAAACGAUGAAUGCUAAGUGUUGGAGGGUUUCCGCCCUUCAGUGCUGCAGCUAACGCAUUAAGCAUUCCGCCUGGGGAGUACGGCCGCAAGGCUGAAACUCAAAGGAAUUGACGGGGGCCCGCACAAGCGGUGGAGCAUGUGGUUUAAUUCGAAGCUACGCGAAGAACCUUACCAGGUCUUGACAUACUAUGCAAAUCUAAGAGAUUAGACGUUCCCUUCGGGGACAUGGAUACAGGUGGUGCAUGGUUGUCGUCAGCUCGUGUCGUGAGAUGUUGGGUUAAGUCCCGCAACGAGCGCAACCCUUAUUAUCAGUUGCCAGCAUUAAGUUGGGCACUCUGGUGAGACUGCCGGUGACAAACCGGAGGAAGGUGGGGGAUGACGUCAAAUCAUCAUGCCCCUUAUGACCUGGGCUACACACGUGCUACAAUGGAUGGUACAACGAGUUGCGAACUCGCGAGAGUAAGCUAAUCUCUUAAAGCCAUUCUCAGUUCGGAUUGUAGGCUGCAACUCGCCUACAUGAAGUCGGAAUCGCUAGUAAUCGCGGAUCAGCAUGCCGCGGUGAAUACGUUCCCGGGCCUUGUACACACCGCCCGUCACACCAUGAAGAGUUUGUAACACCCAAAGUCNNGUGGGGUAACCUUUUAGGAACCAGCCGCCUAAGGUGGGACAGAUGAU